CUCGUGGCGAGCCCGGCUCGGCCCAUUAACAUCCCUAUAUAAACCAUGUCUCUUUGGGAUAGAAGUGAUCAAAUCACUACCCUAAAGAUUUUUAUGUGUCCUUGACCCAAUUUUAUGUCAAACUUCAUGUCAUCCAACAUUCCUAGAGACAGAAGGUUUCUUUUUAAUUCAGGAACAAAUAUGGCCUCUUUUAACAAUAAAAUUCUGCCAUUUUCUAAGAGCAAUUUUAUGGUUUCAAUACCUUUCACUUUGCAGGUCAUGUUGUUUCCCAUGAUAACUUGGCCUCCC
RNAcentral lists this long non-coding RNA (288 nucleotides) under Olea europaea (common olive). RNAcentral's name for it is "long non-coding RNA (OEUR_LNC012861)". The record is from RNAcentral. Lineage: Eukaryota; Viridiplantae; Streptophyta; Magnoliopsida; Lamiales; Oleaceae.